This 425-nucleotide ribosomal RNA is filed under the name uncultured bacterium. RNAcentral describes it as "partial 16S ribosomal RNA". It matches the Rfam family "Bacterial small subunit ribosomal RNA", at positions 354 to 796 of the family's 1533-position model. The record is from RNAcentral.
GUAGGGAAUCUUGCGCAAUGGGCGAAAGCCUGACGCAGCCAUGCCGCGUGAAUGAUGAAGGUCUUAGGAUUGUAAAAUUCUUUCACCGGGGACGAUAAUGACGGUACCCGGAGAAGAAGCCCCGGCUAACUUCGUGCCAGCAGCCGCGGUAAUACGAAGGGGGCUAGCGUUGCUCGGAAUUACUGGGCGUAAAGGGCGCGUAGGCGGACAGUUUAGUCAGAGGUGAAAGCCCAGGGCUCAACCUUGGAAUUGCCUUUGAUACUGGCUGUCUUGAGUACGGGAGAGGUGAGUGGAACUCCGAGUGUAGAGGUGAAAUUCGUAGAGAUUCGGAAGAACACCAGUGGCGAAGGCGACUCACUGGCCCGUUACUGACGCUGAGGCGCGAAAGCGUGGGGAGCAAACAGGAUUAGAUACCCGGGUAGUCC